RNAcentral lists this ribosomal RNA (492 nucleotides) under uncultured bacterium. RNAcentral's name for it is "partial 16S ribosomal RNA". It matches the Rfam family "Bacterial small subunit ribosomal RNA", at positions 29 to 523 of the family's 1533-position model. The record is from RNAcentral.
AUUGAACGCUGGCGGCAGGCCUAACACAUGCAAGUCGAGCGGCAGCACUUCGGGUGGCGAGCGGCGAACGGGUGAGUAAUACAUGGGAAUCUGCCCAGUAGUGGGGGAUAACUUCGGGAAACUGGAGGUAAUACCGCAUACGUCCUACGGGAGAAAGCAGGGGAUCGCAAGACCUUGCGCUAUUGGAGGAGCCCAUGUCCGAUUAGCUAGUUGGCGAGGUAAAGGCUCACCAAGGCAACGAUCGGUAACUGGUCUGAGAGGAUGGUCAGUCACACUGGAACUGAGAAACGGUCCAGACUCCUACGGGAGGCAGCAGUGGGGAAUAUUGGACAAUGGGGGCAACCCUGAUCCAGCCAUGCCGCGUGUGUGAAGAAGGGCUUCGGGUUGUAAAGCACUUUAAGCAGGGAGGAAGGCUCCUACGUUAAUACCGUGCGGGAGUGACGUUACCUGCAGAAUAAGCACCGGCAAACUCCGUGCCAGCCGCCGCGGUAA